RNAcentral lists this ribosomal RNA (306 nucleotides) under Triticum aestivum (bread wheat). RNAcentral describes it as "partial small subunit ribosomal RNA". The record is from RNAcentral. Lineage: Eukaryota; Viridiplantae; Streptophyta; Magnoliopsida; Poales; Poaceae.
AUGCACUGGUUUGCCUGGUGGAAGCUUUGUGUUCCUAAAGAGAGAGGAGGAAUGGGGUUUAGGGAUCCCCACUGUUUUAAUUUAGCUAUGCCAGCUAAACAAAUUUCGAGAUUACUGGAGGCUCCAAACAGCUUUUGUGCAAGGGUGUUGAGAAGUAAGUAUUAUCCUAAUGACAUUACUUGCAAUGAUCUUCCACCUCGUGAUAGUGCGUCUUGGUGGUGCUCCUGUAUGUGGCGUUGGCACAAGAGAUGUGGAGUGACUUCAGGAUUUUGUCGAGUGAGUUGCAUCGGUUGUAACUGCCGGUGA